AUGAUUUUUGAUGUUGCAGAUACCAUUGAUGAUGCAGAGCUCCUCAGUCUUGAUGAUAUGGACGACGUUACGGAUGACAAACCUGUGCAGCAUGUACCUGCUGGCUGGAAGAUCCGGACAAUGUUUAGGAGCAUUGAUUGGAACUAUUGGGAAAGUAGUCUCACUCUUCAUGUUGACGACAUAUCAGCCUCCCCACCUGAACCCUCUGUGCUGCAAUCUCAUCUAUGGAAUGAUACAGACAAGAAAUGGACAUUGGGAAAACUGAAGUGUACAAGCUUCCCGACCUUUGGUUUUUAUGGGGGUGAUGUUGUCUACCUCGUGUCUAAGGUGGAGUCUCAGGAUAAUGAUGCAUUGCUUGUUGGUGUUGAUACUCGAAAAAUGAAGCUGGAAUCCAUCAAAGCAUAUGGCUGUGGGAGAUCCAUUUCUUUUGGUCCCAUUCCGGUUGUUCGUUUUAAAAUUGGAAGGAAGCAAGAAGUCAUCGAACCAUCUUGUGGCGGGAGAUCUACUUCUUUUGAUGUCAUUUCAUGUGCAUUCUCAAAAUAUCUGAAUACCGCUCAAGUCCAAGGCCUUGUAAUGGGGAAGCUGCAGCAGAGUCUGCUCAGAAUGGUGUGCUGA
RNAcentral lists this ribosomal RNA (615 nucleotides) under Triticum aestivum (bread wheat). RNAcentral describes it as "partial small subunit ribosomal RNA". The record is from RNAcentral. Lineage: Eukaryota; Viridiplantae; Streptophyta; Magnoliopsida; Poales; Poaceae.